Long non-coding RNA from Amphiprion ocellaris (clown anemonefish), 5143 nucleotides. The record is from Ensembl. NCBI's taxonomy places the organism in Eukaryota, Metazoa, Chordata, Actinopteri, Pomacentridae.
CUGGGACCGGAGUUGGUAAGUCAGUUUAUGUGUCUCACACACUUGGAAAAAAUGCACGAGAUGUGAACAAUGCUGCAGUCUCUACAGUGUUUAUAAAACUGGCUCUGAGUUUGUCACUCUAGUUUCUGUCUUGCUUUUCUCUUCCUCUCCAACAUUCAGGUGGUACAAGAGUUCCCCCUGGAGGCUCUGGUGGUGAUGUCUCAAAUGGAGCAUUGCCUGGCGCCAAACCUCUCAAACCCCCAGGUGUCCCUCGAGGUGACACACCAGGUGAAGGAGAUGGAGAAGAUGGCCCCGAUGGAGAGAGAGGUGGUACAGGAGGCACAGGUGGAGGGCCAGGAGGAGUAGGAGGGGGACCUACCAGAGCAGGACCAGCAGGAGGUGUUUCUGGUGGUGCAACAGCAGUAGGAAGAGGAGACGGUCCUGCUACUGGAACUGGACUUGGAUCAGGAGGUGCAGCUGGUGGAGUAGGAGGAACACCAAAACCACCCAAAGAUGGGACUGUCGCAGGAGGUGUAAGCGCAGGACCUGGUGGAGCUGGUGGACUUGCAGGAGGAGUUGGGUCAGCUGGACGAGGUCCUGGAGGAGCAGGCCUGGUACCUGGGGCUGGUGGAGUAGGAACAGGAUUCGCAAAACCUGGAAAAAGCUAUGGUGCUUUUGGAGCUGGAGUUUCACCAGGCGGAGGCAUACGUUACCCAACAGGAGCUGGAGUAGGACAAGGAACAGGAAAACCAGGCAAAGCAUAUGGAACUCUCGGAGUAGGAGGACAGGGUGGGUUUGGACCUGGCGGAUAUGGAGCUGGUCCUGGUGGCUUUGGUACUGGUCCGGGAGGUUACGGAGUGGGACCCGGAGGUUACGGGGCUGGCCCAGGUGGUUAUGGAGCUGGACCUGGAGGCUAUGGAGGCACAACUGGAAGCAGAGGCAUCGGUGGUGGUCCUGGGGGUGUUGGGACUCUUGGAGUUGGAACUGGUCCAGGAGGUGUAGGUCCUGGCGGAGUUGGUGGCGGACUGGGUGGAUACGGUGGUGGUGUGGGGCCUGAUGGUUCUAGAUAUGGUACAGGUCCAGGACGGGGCACUGGGACUGGUGCUGGCAAACCACCAAAAAGUUAUGGAGCAGGAGCUGGUGGUACUGGUGUUGGACCUGGUGGCUAUGGCACUGGACCAGGUGGAGCUGGUUCUGGUCCAGGAGGUUUUGGACCAGGUGGCUUUGUGCCAGGCGGCCCUGGUGCUGGUACUUAUGGACCAGGUGGCACUGGUUCAGGUGGAUAUGGGGCCGGCACUGGAACUAGACCUGGUGGCUUUGGACCAGGUGGUGCCGGAACAGGAACAGGAGGCUUCGGAACAGGUGGUGCCGGAAUAGGAACAGGAGGCUUCGGACCAGGUGGUGUCGGAACAGGAACAGGAGCCUUCGGACCAGGUGGUGCCGGAACAGGAGGCUUCGGACCAGGUGGGGCUGGAACAGGAGGCUUCGGACCAGGUGGGGCUGGAACAGGAGGCUUUGGACCAGGUGGUGCCGGGGCUCAAGGACUGGGGACAAGAAAACCACCCAAAUCAGGUUAUGGAUCAUCCUCACUGGGUGGAGCUGGCUUUGGACCAGGUGCAGGAGUUGGACCUGGUGGAACAGGUACCGGACCUGGCAGAUAUGGGCCGGGUGGCUUCGGACCAGGUGGUACUGGCGUUGGAACGGGAGGCUUUGGACCAGGGGGUGCUGGCACAGGAACAGGUGGCUUUGGACCAGGUGGUGCUGGAGUAGGAGGGUUUGGACCUGGUGGUGCUGGAACAGGAACAGGAUUUGGACCAGGAAGUCAAGGAUCAGGAAAAAGAAAACCGUCUAAAUCCGGUUAUGGAACUGGUUAUGGUUCAGGAAGCUUAGGAGGAGUUGCAGGAACUGGCACUGGUGGAGCUGGAGCUAGAACUGGCGGCUUUGGUCCAGGAGGAGCUGGAACAGGUGGCUUCGGUCCAGGAGGAGCUGGAACGGGUGGCUUCGGUCCAGGAACUGGCGGUUUCGGUCCAGGAGGAGCUGGGACUGGCGGUUUCGGUCCAGGAGGAGCUGGGCGUGGUGGCUUCGGUCCAGGAGGAGCUGGAACGGGUGGCUUCGGUCCAGGAGGAGCUGGAACGGGUGGCUUCGGUCCAGAAACUGGCGGUUUCGGUCCAGGAGGAGCUGGGACUGGCGGUUUCGGUCCAGGAGGAGCUGGGACUGGUGGCUUCGGUCCAGGAGGAGCUGGGACUGGCGGUUUCGGUCCAGGAGGAGCUGGGACUGGCGGUUUCGGUCCAGGAGGUGCUGGAACUGGCAGUUUCGGUCCAGGAGGUGCUGGUGGAUAUGGACCUGGUGGCCAAACAAGAAAGCCUCCUAAAUCAGGUUAUGGCUCAUCGUUAGGUGGCACUGGCUAUGGACCAGGUGGUGUAGCAGGAGGCCUUCCUAGUACUGGAACAGUAGGAAUCAGUGGAGGCGGUCCAGGUGGUGUAGGAGGGCAGGCAGGAGGCCCUGGAGGACCAGGCCAGGGAGUAGGAGGAGGACCAGGUGGCUUACCAGGGGGUGCUGGCCCUGGUUUUGGAGGGGUGGCUGGUGGAGGCUAUCCAGGAUUUGCAGGGGCUGGGCAAAAAUCCAAGGCACAGAAGGCAGCCAAAUAUGCAGCCCUGCAGGCCCUACUUGGAUCUGGGGGCUACAGAGGUGCUGGCUGUCAGGGUAAAUUCUGUGGCCGAAGGAGGAAGUGAGCCACCAACAGACAUGAAGUGACCUCAUCAAUACAACAGUGGUGCUAUUGCAUGAUCCCAAACUGUAAAUGUCUUAUCUGCCAUGGAAGCUAAAGCUUCAACACAUUCCAAGUGUUACAUUUUUAUUUGCUUAGAUGUUGUACAAGGCUUACUGAGUAAGAAAAAUGGUUCUCAACCUGUUAGAAUCCUGAUUCCUGAAAGCAAGAUGCUGCAGACUGCUAUGCAGAUUGGAGGAUUUGUCACUGUCACAUUGAUUUUUUGGGGGGAUAAUUUGCAAAUUUGGCUUUGGUCAGAUAUAAAGUAUUCACAGUUUCUCAAGAAAAAACACAAAUUAGAGUCUGAAUUUCAAGAAUUAAGUUUCAAGAGUGACAAUAGGCUUGUUUAAGAUGGGACAAACUUGCGCUGAAUUGAUCAACACAGAUUGCUGCAUAAUGGAUGCUAGUUAUAUUUCCAUAUUGAUUCCAACUUGUUUUGAUGUCAGAAUGACACAGGCAAUAACAGCAUCAUGAGAUCAUGACAGAAAACAUCUGGCUUUCACCUGCUCCAUUAGCUGAUUGGUUCUAAUGUCGAGUCUACAAUAUGAAAUUUGAUAAUGAUAAGUUACAAGAGCGUUCAUGUAAAAAUGGAGGCUGAACCAAGAACAGAGGUUACAGAUGCCCUGUCAUAAUUAAAACUAUUUAAUGAAUCAACUAGUUUCUGUAACUUCCUGCUUUGACUGAAAGCUGCUGGAAACUGUCUUGACUGCUGACUUUUAACACUACCCCGUGCUGUUGCUAUCUGUUCCUGACUUCUGUUAGAACCGCAGUUGAUCUCAAAUGAGUCUAUUAUUCCAUCAGCAACACAACAACCAGCAAACUGGACACAAUGGAAUUCUUCAAGCUCUAGUUCUAAUUUGUUAACAUUUCUUAUAGUCCUAAUAUUCCCCAAUGAAUCACUUUGUAAGUCUCUGGGGAUCUUGACUACCAGGCUGAGAACCACUAAAAUGAAGGAUCUGUAUUUCUUUUUAUCAGUGAGGCCAACCUGCUCUAUACUACAGUUAUUGUUUUCUAUUGCUGCGUUGAAUAUCAUUUGUGUUCCAAUGCAAGUAUCACCAUGAAACCUCUGGGUUGAGACUGAUACCAAGGACUCCCUCAGGGCAGCUCCUUCAGACCUGUCUGCAUGCUGACACAAGGUUUAUGAAAAACGUCUCCAAGGCAACAUUUUUGUCCAGUUAGACUGGGUCGUUCUUUUGUCUACAGAUUUUAAAAUGUGCUAAUUCACUGUUUUUAGCUUGUACAUCAGUAGACGCUCUUGUGUAAUCUAUCAGCAAUGUGUAAUGACCAAGAAACAGAUGGCUGCUGUUCUGUGGAAUGAUGAACAAAAGAGACACUCAGUGGAGUCUUCUGUGGUUUGGUGUUUUGACUGGUCAUUAUCUCAUCCUUAAAAAGCAGCCUCUGUUCAUGUCAACUGUACUCAGGCCUCAGUAGUAUCAACCGUGGAGGCCUAAAAGUAUUUUGCUAACACUGGUGAGAUUCUUCCACUCUGUUCACAACAUUAAAGACACUGUUUUAUAGCUACGUAACACUAAGUGGUAAUAGUGUAAAGUUUUGGUUAACCUCCAUUUUGCUUUCAUUGUUAGAAGGAGAUAUUUGUUAUGAUAUAAUGAUGUGGCUUAGUUUUAGCUUUUACAUUUGCUGUUGAGGAAAGCAUUCAAGCUAAAUGUGAGGUAAUAUGACAAGAAUACAUGAGGAGUACUGAUUACUGUUUUUUUUUUUCUUUUGAUGUACCUCCUUUAACACUGUUGAAAAUUUGUUCACGUUUACCAGACUUUUUAAAUUAUGCUGGAUAAUAGGGAUCUAUUUAGUCUUAUUUUACAAAUUCAAGAGCAUUAAUACAGUAUUAAAUAUUUCAGCUAGUUAUUUUGUGUGUGAGUGUUUCAACAGUUAUUAAACGUGUGUACUACUAUGAUGAUAGAAGUGCUUUGUUUUCUACAUUGUCCUUGAAUGUGUGUUGAAUCACAAUGUAGUCUGUGAGGUCAUUAGGAUAAAAAAGUAUAACUGAAUCUUAUCUUGCAUUUGAGCUUAUGUUUGUGUUUAUCAUGCGGCUCAACAUGUGUUUUUAAUGUAUUUUUUAUGUGGCCUAUGAAGAAAAUAAUGCACUUUUGUACACUUUCUGACUAUGCUCUCUGAAGUAAAGAGAUGACCAAUGACAGUUGUUUCUGGGUAUUGUUAUUUUAGAGCUGGUAGACUUAUUUACAAUGUUACACAUCAAAUAUGAAACUGUAAACGCAGUAUUUGGCACAAGGCGAGAGGCUGAAGCUGCACAUUGAGAGGACGAUGUUGGUCUUAACAUGCUUGUCUGCGGUGGCUUCAAAAUAACCACAAGUUAGGCUGUAAAGAGAAAAAGGAAACAACAAACUGCUGCUUGUGCAGUGUUACAAAGUUAAAACAGCA